UUUAUUGGGGUUGCGGACAUAUCAUAACGAAGAGGUAUCGUAAUUGAAGAGGUUUGGAAAGACCCACCACAGAAGGUAAUAGUCCUGUAUGUUAAACGAGAAGACUUCAGAUAUGAUCCAGAGUACCACGGGACACGUGAAACCCUGUGGGAAGCAGGAGGGACCACCCUCCAAGGCUAAAUACUACCUAGUGACCGAUAGCGUAUAGUACCGUGAGGGAAAGGUGAAAAGAACCCCGGGAGGGGAGUGAAAUAGAACCUGAAACCCUGCACUUACAAGCUGUGGAAGCACAUUUCUUGUGUGACCGCGUACUUUUUGUAGAACGGGCCAACGAGUUACGUUAAGUAGCAAGGUUAAGCACUUAAGGUGCGGAGCCGUAGCGAAAGCGAGUUUUAACUGAGCGUUCAGUUACUUGACGUAGACCCGAAACCGGGCGACCUACCCAUGAGCAGGAUGAAGCGAAAGUAAAAUUUCGUGGAGGUCCGAACCCACGAGCGUUGAAAAGCUCGGGGAUGACUUGUGGGUAGCGGUGAAAUUCCAAUCGAGCCCGGAGAUAGCUGGUUCUCCCCGAAAUAGCUUUAGGGCUAGCCUCAAGGUGAGAGAUACGGAGGUAGAGCACUGAAUGUCCUAGGGGGUAUUGCACCUACCGAAGACUAUCAAACUCCGAAUGCCGUCAUCUUAUACUUGGGAGUCAGACUGUGGGUGAUAAGAUUCAUAGUCGAAAGGGCAACAGCCCAGAUCGUCAGCUAAGGUCCCUAAAUGUAAGUUAAGUGGUAAAGGAUGUGGGAUUGCACAGACAACCAGGAUGUUGGCUUAGAAGCAGCCACUCAUUCAAAGAGUGCGUAAUAGCUCACUGGUCGAGUGAUCCUGCGCCGAAGAUUUCCGGGGCUAAAACUUACUACCGAAGCUACGGCAUCAGUAAUGAUGGGUAGGGGAGCUUCCCAUACGGGUUGAAGCAUGACCGUAAGGACAUGUGGACAGUAUGGGAGUGAGAAUGUUGGCAUGAGUAGCGAGAUGUGGGUGAGAAUCCCACAGGCCGUAAACCCAAGGUUUCCAGGGGAAGGUUCGUCCGCCCUGGGUUAGUCGGGACCUAAGCUGAGGCCGAAAGGCGUAGGUGAUGGACAACAGGUUGAUAUUCCUGUACUACCGAUAACCGUUUGAGAGAAGGGAUGACACAGUAGGAUAAGCUAAGCACACUGUUGGUUAUGUGUGCCCAAGCAUUGAGGCAGUCAAAGUAGGCAAAUCCGCUUUGAUAAUGCUGGGAUGUGAUGGGGAGCGAAAUUUAGUAGCGAAGUAGCUGAUUUCACACUGUCAAGAAAAGUCUCUAUCGAGGUUAAAGGUACCCGUACCGCAAACCGACACAGGUGGGUGAGGAGAGUAUCCUAAGGCCAGCGAGAGAACUGUUGUUAAGGAACUCGGCAAAAUGACCCCGUAACUUAGGGAUAAGGGGUGCCACCAUCAGGUGGCCGCAGAGAAUAGGCCCAAGCGACUGUUUACCAAAAACAUAGGUUUCUGCUAAGUCGCAAGACGAUGUAUAGGAGCUGACGCCUGCCCGGUGCUGGAAGGUUAAGGGGAUCUGUUAGAGCAAUCGAAGCAGUGAACUUAAGCCCCAGUAAACGGCGGCCGUAACUAUAACGGUCCUAAGGUAGCGAAAUUCCUUGUCGGGUAAGUUCCGACCCGCACGAAAGGCGUAACGAUUUGGGCACUGUCUCAACAACAGACUCGGUGAAAUUGUAAUUCCGGUGAAGAUGCCGGAUACCUGCGACAGGACGGAAAGACCCCAUGGAGCUUUACUGUAGCUUGACAUUGGGUCUUGGUACUACAUGUACAGGAUAGGUGGGAGGCUUUGAAACCAGGACGCCAGUUUUGGCGGAGCCAUCCUUGGGAUACCACCCUUGUAGUACUGGGACUCUAACCAUAGGCCAUGAAUCUGGUCUUGGGACACUGUCAGGUGGGCAGUUUGACUGGGGCGGUCGCCUCCCAAAAGGUAACGGAGGCGCUCAAAGGUUCUCUCAGUACGGUCGGAAAUCGUACGUAGAGUGUAAAGGCAAAAGAGAGCUUGAUUGCAAGACAUACAGGUCGAGCAAGGAUGAAAAUCGGACUUAGUGAUCCGGUGGUUCUGCGUGGAAGGGCCAUCGCUCAACGGAUAAAAGCUACCCUGGGGAUAACAGGCUUAUCUCCCCCAAGAGUCCACAUCGACGGGGAGGUUUGGCACCUCGAUGUCGGCUCAUCACAUCCUGGGGCUGUAGUAGGUCCCAAGGGUUGGGCUGUUCGCCCAUUAAAGUGGUACGCGAGCUGGGUUCAGAACGUCGUGAGACAGUUCGGUCCCUAUCCGUCGCAGGCGUAGGAAAUUUGAGAAGACCUGUCCUUAGUACGAGAGGACCGGGAUGGACG
This 2394-nucleotide ribosomal RNA is filed under the name Clostridioides difficile. RNAcentral describes it as "partial 23S ribosomal RNA". It matches the Rfam family "Bacterial large subunit ribosomal RNA", at positions 288 to 2703 of the family's 2925-position model. Lineage: Bacteria; Bacillati; Bacillota; Clostridia; Peptostreptococcales; Peptostreptococcaceae. The record is from RNAcentral.